GGCCUACGCAAUAAAAACUCAUGAACUCCGUCAGGUCCGGAGGAAGCAGCGGUAAGUGAGGACCUUUAUGUGCCGUAGGCAAACCUAACUUGAGUUAACUAUAUAAGUAACGCUUUUAUUUUACUGUCGACGCAAGGUGCACGA
Molecule: signal recognition particle RNA, 144 nt
Filed under: Clostridium haemolyticum
Lineage: Bacteria; Bacillati; Bacillota; Clostridia; Eubacteriales; Clostridiaceae
Description: partial signal recognition particle sRNA large type
Rfam family: Bacterial large signal recognition particle RNA
About the family: The signal recognition particle (SRP) is a universally conserved ribonucleoprotein involved in the co-translational targeting of proteins to membranes. Archaeal SRP consists of a 7S RNA and homologues of the eukaryotic SRP19 and SRP54 proteins. In most bacteria, the SRP consists of a 4.5S RNA and the Ffh protein (a homologue of the eukaryotic SRP54 protein).
Source: RNAcentral